UACGUAGGUGGCGAGCGUUGUCCGGAUUUACUGGGCGUAAAGGGCUUGUAGGCGGUCCGUUAAGUCCGAUGUGAAAUCUCCCGGCUCAACUGGGAGAGGUCAUUGGAUACUGGCGGACUAGAGGGGGGUAGAGGAAAGCAGAAUUCCUGGUGUAGCGGUGAAAUGCGCAGAUAUCAGGAGGAACACCAAUGGCGAAGGCAGCUCGCUGGGACGGUACUGACGCUGAGGAGCGAAAGUGUGGGGAGCGAACAGG
This 253-nucleotide ribosomal RNA is filed under the name uncultured bacterium. RNAcentral's name for it is "partial 16S ribosomal RNA". It matches the Rfam family "Bacterial small subunit ribosomal RNA", at positions 524 to 776 of the family's 1533-position model. The record is from RNAcentral.